GCAGUCUGGAUGAGGAAGUGAAUGCUCUGUGUCGUUCCUGCUGCUGCUUCCUGAUUCUACAGGAUCACCUGAAGAGCUGCGAAUCUAGAUGACUGGGUUGAGGGCAUUUUUCGUGGAAACUAAUCAUGAACGGUGAUUGACAAGGUUCCUGGGGCACCUGCAAAUGAUUCCCAAGAAUCGUUUCCCACAGCAUAAGAAUCCUGGUCAUCCCUCCACUCAGCGUCAGAUGAGAUGUCUAAUACUAGAUAGUAUCGCUCAGUAGUUGGCUCUGAUUCAGUUCAUUGCUCUGUGCUUUACCUGCGACUCACAACCUCUCCAAGAGGCUAAUUGUUCCGCUGCUUAGUUCGCCUGCCUAUCGACCCCUCCUGUAUCCUGCCUGCCCAUCUGUCCUGAUGGAUUCCUGUCUGAAGUGUUUGUAUUCACUGAGUAGGCUAGUAGAGUUGUGCAAUUGGAACCAGUUCCUGUUAUUUCCACAACAAAACUUCUCUUAAGCUUGUUAUUACCAGGUCAUGGGGCUCUGACCCGUGGUCAAAUGUAUUCCUCACAUACAGAGGGGUUGAAACAUCUCUCACAGUGGACUCCAUUCCCCUGGUACGGGUGUGGAAGAGGAUUGCAUGCUAUUACUGGGUUUCCUGGGUAUUUAACUACAUAAAUGUUCCCUCUUGUGGGUUUUAUUCAAAGUUAUGGUAAAUGAUAAAUUACAGGUUUUUCAAUAGAGCUGUCUUUAUAACAUGGAUGAGUUUUGCCAUCUAUGUGCAGCAAUUACUCUUUAUACACACACACACACACACAAUGCCGUCUGCCGUCAAGGGCAAUUUUAGGGUUCAGCACUUUUCCCAAUGUCACCCUCACACGUAGAAUGGGGGAGACAGGGAUUUGUUUAGAAAAUUGGUGCCAUGACAUAUCAUGACUGGCUCUGCUCUGCCUAAAUAUGCCUGUUGGUUUUAUUUCACGCAGUGCAUCAAUGUAAAACGAAAAAAAAAAGUUUAAAUCUAUGCUAAAAAAUCUAUCUAAAGUUUCCUGCAAAAACCUGAAGAGUCAAAGCAUGUUCCUGGUUGAAUGAGACAUACAUUCAUUGAUCGUACAGGUGGACAACCCAAAUAAAACGAUCUCAUGUGGUUCAAAUAUGUUCUGGCAAAGAGCUCUCACACAUGCUGUUAUCUUUUGAAUGAGGCUUCGCUAUGGAUCCCUAAAUAACUGGCAGCACAUGUUCCUCUCUAACACAAACAUUUUACAACAAGUACUCAGAACAAGGACGCUUCUCCCCGAGCUUUGUACUCUGUGGAUUAAAGCAGUUAUCCACAGACCUUCAUUGCCAUGGUUACAAUUUUGUAAGUGUCGGAGGAAGCCCCCACAAAAUUAAGAUCAUUAUCAUGAUAACCAUUCAUAAUAAUGAAUUUGUGUAUGAUUGAUGAGCCCCAGAGAAAAUCAUCCCAAGAUCGGAAGAUGCACGGCUUCAUAUCAAUUCCUGGCGUUAAGUUGAGUACAUGGUCCGACUUUAAUCAAUACAGUAAAUAAACCAGAAACCUUGCGUGGGAGCAAGCUGAAAUGUACAACAAGAAACUAAUGGUUUGAAGAAAAGUCAGUAUCCGAAGGCAGGGGCAUUCAUGCAAGGCUUUAACACUUCGUUUCAAUCAUGCAAAAUGGAGGCAAUAUUUAUAACCGAUACCGCAGCCAACCAAUUAGAGGCCCUUUGGCUACAUUUUUGUGGAGCAGUCAUGUCUAUCAGCUGACCUUCUGUCAUUAUUACUGUGGCUAUCAGAGGUUUUACAAAGACAUAUCCUAACAAUACAAUUGAAUAUGUUUCCGCACUGUGCGUCAUUGUCAGUUGAUGGUCUCAUCUCUCAUCGUCAUCCGCUUAUCCGGGGUCGGGUUGCGGGGGGGAGCAGCUCAAGCAGGGGGCCCCAGACUUCCCUUUCCCGGGCCACAUUGACCAGCUCUGACCAGAGGCGUUCCCAGGCCAGUGUUGAGAUAUAAUCUCUCCACCUAGUCCUGGGUCUUCCCCGAGGUCUCCUCCCCACUGGACGUGCCUGGAAAACCUCCCAAGGGAGGCGCCCAGUGGG
Platichthys flesus (European flounder) is the source of this 2063-nucleotide long non-coding RNA. RefSeq lists it as uncharacterized. The record is from RefSeq and is a predicted model, not a curated record. Lineage: Eukaryota; Metazoa; Chordata; Actinopteri; Pleuronectiformes; Pleuronectidae. The transcript has 3 exons.